CAGUCGCCACGGUAAUACAGAGGGUGCAAGCGUUAAUCGGAUUUACUGGGCGUAAAGGGCGCGUAGGUGGUUAUGUAAGUGAGAUGUGAAGUCCCCGGGCUCAACCUGGGAACUGCAUCUUAUACUGCGUAGCUGGAGUGCAGUAGAGGGUAGUGGAAUUUCCGGUGUAGCGGUGAAAUGCGUAGAUAUCGGAAGGAACACCAGUGGCGAAGGCGGCUACCUGGACUGACACUGACACUGAGGCGCGAAAGCGUGGGGAGCAAACAGGAUUAGAUACCCCCGUAGUCCCUGUCUCUUAUAC
This 301-nucleotide ribosomal RNA is filed under the name uncultured bacterium. Its description in RNAcentral is "partial 16S ribosomal RNA". It matches the Rfam family "Bacterial small subunit ribosomal RNA", at positions 509 to 807 of the family's 1533-position model. The record is from RNAcentral.